CCGCCCGUCGACAGGUAACAUCACGAAAACCGCUUUCCUGAUGAGGAAUAAGGGAAUCGCAGGUUCGAAUCCUGCCAGGCGGGCCA
This 86-nucleotide transfer RNA is filed under the name Desulfobacterium sp. RNAcentral's name for it is "tRNA-Ile". Lineage: Bacteria; Pseudomonadati; Thermodesulfobacteriota; Desulfobacteria; Desulfobacterales; Desulfobacteriaceae. The record is from RNAcentral.